UGCGGGCCUCGGCCUCCCUAGAUUCCUUCCCAUCUCCCCAACAGCAAUCCUCCCAGGGCCAUGGGCCAGGAACCCCUGGUGGUUCUGUAUUCUGAGGUUCUGCAGACGCAGGGUGUAGUCUCCUGCGAGUCCAUCUUGAUUUGGAAGGCUGCGGGAGGAGGUGGCCGAGACCCCUUCCCUAGACCGCGAGGCAGGACGGAGGCAGCCGUUAGGAACGGCCCCACUCCACCAGCCGGGCCCGCGGGACGGUUACUCUGUUCCUGAGGUACCCCCCGCGAUUGUCUGUGGGGUCAGAAACAGCUCUGGAGGGGCCUGCAGAAAUUACUUUCCCAAGUCUUUGGGCUGGAAGGAACGAACAGUGCCUGACCAAGGACUUUGAGCAGGAGAGAGAUGGGAGCAGAGAGGAGCCAAGGUCUACUAUUUUCACUUCUGUCAAUUAGAUCAAAGCCCUGCCCAGAAGCUUUGAGCGCCGCUGUCAAGUCCCAUUCCUCCCCUAAACCAUCCAGGUUCCAUCUGCCUUGAAGCCAAAGGAUCUUCUUAGAUUCCUCAAGAAAAAUUCAGGCCCCGAGUUUCUCCACCAGCACUCUCCUCUCCCCGAAGGAGUGGGUGGGCUGCAUUUCUCUUCAUAUUCUAUUCCAUUCCAGACCGUCUUGGACUACCAGCCUGUCCGCCACCCCUCGGGGCCCUCCCUCCUACUGUGCCCUUGCCCGCUGAGGUCCCAAGCUGAGGAGAUGAGCAGAGCAGUAAAAAGAGAGGAGGUUUGGAAAAGCAAUGUCCUCUCAGUCUUUAACAGGUGGCCCCCCUAGGAACCUGCUGGAAGUGGAAGUUAAUAAGCUGAAGGUGGUCACAACUAAUCUCUGCCACACUCGCACCCUCCCCCACCCCAAAUCAUUCCUUUUAAUUAAUAGUGGAAGACCUUUUUAAAAAUGUAACAUGAAUUGGCUAUUUCUUGAGGCAAACAAAAGGUGGCUCUGAAGCGAUAUAUUUGUACUUAUAUAAAUUCAUUAAAAUAGAAAGCUUAUAACCAUCCAGGUUUCACUGACAGCCCAGUCCAUCUACAUGCAGAAAUGGUCCCUCCAAAGCCCUCUAUGACAAUUAUUCUCACAGAUCUUCAUGAUAAACUGUAAGGGAAUAUACUAAGAAAGAGGGAAGAAGAGAGGAGGAGUCCAUUUUCAAUUAGUGGUUGGAAAUAGAGCAAAAAUUAGAGGGCCUUAGGUUUAAAACACAGAUGUGCAUUGUGAUCGUCUGAAGGAAGAGCUGUUGACAGAGAAAACAAGGUGGUGAACUAUGCCCUUGGCCUGUGACAGUUAGGUGAGGGUUGCUCACCGCAGAAGACAGACCGGUAGAGCCCAGCAGGAAAGAGGGUAUCAGGCUGGAAGAAGUGCAGUUUGGCCCUGGCGGAGUGGUGGAGUGGCUGGAGCGACUGCAGGAGGAGGAUAGAUCUGGAAGCAGGUCUGGGCUAUACUUUGGCCUCAGCCAGGGAGCCAGAGAAGGAAGGCUUGGGUUCGAGGGGGGAAAUCAUUCUCCCAAAUUGCUUUCUCAGAAGCGCCAAUUCAGAUCACCUGAAGACAGGAUCUGGGCCCCAUUACAGCCUGGUUCCCAAAUGGGGGUGUGCUUGGAAGCCUUGGUGAUUAAAGGGUGCUGACUAAAAGAGUCAAACUCUGUAAAAUAUUUGAAGAGAUUUAUUCUGAGCCAAAUAUAAGUGACCAUGGCCCAUGACACAGCCCUCAGGAGACCCUGAGAACAUGUGUUCAAGGUGGUCGGGGUACAGCUUGGUUUUAUAUGUUUUAGGAAGGCAUGAGACUCAAUCAAAGACAUUUAAAAAAUACAUUGGUUUGGUUCAGAAAGGUGAGACAACUCAAAGUGGGGGCUUCCAGGCUAUAGGUAAAUUUAAACAUUUUCUGAUUGACAAUUGGUUGGGUUUAUCUGGAGACCUGGGAUUAAUGGAAAGGAAGGUUCAUGUUAAGAUACAGAACUGUGGAAACCAAGUUUUAUUGUGCAGAGGAAUCUCUCAGAUAGCAGACUUCAGAGAGAGAGAGAGCAGGUUGUAAAAUGUUUCUUAUCGGACCUAAAAGGGUACCUGGCUCUUAGUUGAUUAUCUCCUGGAUCUGGGAAGGAAGGAAGGAAAACAAAGGGGAAAGGAAAUAUUUCCUAUAGAAUAUGGAUUUUUCCCACAAGAGACUUUGCAGGACAAUUUCGAGAUAUGGCAAGGAGAUUUAUUUUGGGGUAAAACAUUUUGAUUUUCUUCCUUGUUAUGCCACAGUCAGAUUGGAAAGUCAGUCAUGAUAUACAGGGUCAGAUAAAACCUGUCUGAUGAGAAUGUAUGGUUGGUAGGGCAUGACUCCCCAGACCCCUUAGAUAGGAAUCUGGGCAAGAUAAAAAAUCGGAGCUUAGUCCUCAAGGGAAGGGGCAGCAGCGCUGUUGGAGGGCUCACCAAGCAUCAGUACUGGAUCACCAGGCUUGGGAGAGUAGGGGUGUCAAGGCCCCAAGAGCAGGGAGGGCCUUGGCCCCACCAGGAGGGCAUCAGAAAGCAGGGAGCACUUGUAGUUCACCAUGAUUCCCCUCAAAGCCCUGGGCCAGCCUCCUGCAGGGAAGGCGGGCAGGAAGUCUUCCCCAUAGGGGCAGGCUUGCUUUUUUGGCCAGCCAUCCUCUUCAUAUGAAAAACAGCAUCUUGUCAUUUCUAGAUGUUUCUACUUUGGUUGACUCUUUAAUUUUUCUGCAGUUAAAAGCCUUAAAACAGCAAGGAAGCAGGGGACAGGAGGGGAGCCCAGAUCUCUCCCAAAGAAAAGGAGAAAGACUGAAUCCUUGAGGCCUGCCGUACAAAGGAGUGGUGGGUUGGAGGAGGGUAGGCAGAGACUAGGGUGGUCUGGGACUUUAAGUACAAGGCCCCGUGGAUUUCGUGGGGGGCAAGCCAUGUGCAACAGGGAAGCUCAGGAACCAGGGGGUUUCGCACAGAGGUCUGGUGCUGUGAGGUACAGGGAAAGAAUUAGUGGAUCUGCACCAGUGGAACAUUGGUUUAGUUUAAUCUCUGAUUUGUGUUGAGUGAAUUUGAGUAUAGUCCAACCACCACCCCCCUACCCCAACUAAACCAUGUGCCCCUCAGGAGCUGGGACUCUUUUAUUUUCUAUUCCUUAUAGCAGGCUCAGUGCCUGACACACUACGUUGAAUUUUAUUUUAAACAUUUCAUUUACAUUAAAUGGUAUAUUUGCAAGUU
Gorilla gorilla gorilla (western lowland gorilla) is the source of this 3214-nucleotide long non-coding RNA. RefSeq lists it as uncharacterized. The record is from RefSeq and is a predicted model, not a curated record. The transcript is spliced from 2 exons. NCBI's taxonomy places the organism in Eukaryota, Metazoa, Chordata, Mammalia, Primates, Hominidae.